AAGCUGGAAUCGCUAGUAAUCGUAGAUCAGCAUGCUACGGUGAAUACGUUCCCGGGUCUUGUACACACCGCCCGUCACACCACGAGAGUUUGUAACACCCGAAGCCGGUGGAGUAACCUUUUAUUAGGAGCUAGCCGUCGAAGGUGGGACAGAUGAUUGGGGUGAAGUCGUAACAAGGUAGCCGUAUCGGAAGGUGCGGCUGGAUCACCUCCUUU
RNAcentral lists this ribosomal RNA (215 nucleotides) under Gemella sp. 19428wG2_WT2a. RNAcentral describes it as "partial 16S ribosomal RNA". It matches the Rfam family "Bacterial small subunit ribosomal RNA", at positions 1323 to 1533 of the family's 1533-position model. Lineage: Bacteria; Bacillati; Bacillota; Bacilli; Caryophanales; Gemellaceae. The record is from RNAcentral.